AGAGAAAUAGAAAAAAAGAAUAAUACUUCCUAGUACAAAAUUUAACAUAAGAAAAACCACAGACAUCAUAAAUCCUCUUAUACCUAAAAUAUAAUCUAAUUCCACUAACUAAAACAUCCUCCCUUCAUGUAGUCAAGUUUACUAAUGCCCCAUCAACGCAUCCUAAUUUAACCCCACUAAAGUGACUACCCUUGACACAGUCUAUUACACCACACUCCGCCAGCUUUGGCUUGUCUCAAGUAUGCUCCUAGUAUACGAAAUUCUCUAACCUUUCCUGCUUAAUGUUUAUCCUAAUAAAAUUAGAAUUCCCCCAACUGUUCCAUUCACUCCUAACAAUGUCUAUACUCUAGGUAUUAUAAU
RNAcentral lists this long non-coding RNA (360 nucleotides) under Vigna radiata. Its description in RNAcentral is "long non-coding RNA (VRAD_LNC000751)". The record is from RNAcentral. Lineage: Eukaryota; Viridiplantae; Streptophyta; Magnoliopsida; Fabales; Fabaceae.